This 255-nucleotide ribosomal RNA is filed under the name uncultured bacterium. RNAcentral's name for it is "partial 16S ribosomal RNA". It matches the Rfam family "Bacterial small subunit ribosomal RNA", at positions 524 to 777 of the family's 1533-position model. The record is from RNAcentral.
UACGAAGGGGGCUAGCGUUGCUCGGAAUCACUGGGCGUAAAGGGUGCGUAGGCGGGUCUUUUAAGUCAGGGGUGAAAUCCUGGAGCUCAACUCCAGAACUGCCUUCGAUACUGGCGAUCUUGAGUCCGGAAGAGGUGAGUGGAACUCCUAGUGUAGAGGUGGAAUUCGUAGAUAUUAGGAAGAACACCAGUGGCGAAGGCGGCUCACUGGUCCGGUACUGACGCUGAGGUGCGAAAGCGUGGGGAGCAAACAGGG